RNAcentral lists this transfer RNA (98 nucleotides) under Trachylepis albilabris (Guinea mabuya). RNAcentral's name for it is "tRNA-Trp". Lineage: Eukaryota; Metazoa; Chordata; Lepidosauria; Squamata; Scincidae. The record is from RNAcentral.
ACCAAAAGCUUAGGUUAACCAAACCGGGGGCCUUCAAAGCCCCAAACAAGGGCCAUUCCCCCUUAGCUUUUGAAGGCCUGUAAAACUUUAAUCUACAU